Long non-coding RNA from Thalassophryne amazonica, 163 nucleotides. RefSeq lists it as uncharacterized. Lineage: Eukaryota; Metazoa; Chordata; Actinopteri; Batrachoidiformes; Batrachoididae. The transcript is spliced from 3 exons. The record is from RefSeq and is a predicted model, not a curated record.
UUAUCAUUUUUAUAUAGCGCUUUUCAAUCUAUAUCAGACACUCAAAGCACCUUACAAUAAUGCCUCACAUUCACCCCGAUGUCAGGGUGCUGCCAUACAAGGCGCUACUACACACUGGGAGCACUAGGGGAUUAAAGGCCUUGCCCAAAGGCCAUUAGUGAUU